RNAcentral lists this transfer RNA (71 nucleotides) under Candidatus Ryanbacteria bacterium RIFCSPHIGHO2_02_FULL_45_17b. Its description in RNAcentral is "tRNA-Trp". It matches the Rfam family "tRNA". From Rfam's summary of the family: Transfer RNA (tRNA) molecules are approximately 80 nucleotides in length. Their secondary structure includes four short double-helical elements and three loops (D, anti-codon, and T loops). Further hydrogen bonds mediate the characteristic L-shaped molecular structure. tRNAs have two regions of fundamental functional importance: the anti-codon, which is responsible for specific mRNA codon recognition, and the 3' end, to which the tRNAs corresponding amino acid is attached (by aminoacyl-tRNA synthetases). tRNAs cope with the degeneracy of the genetic code in two manners: having more than one tRNA (with a specific anti-codon) for a particular amino acid; and 'wobble' base-pairing, i.e. permitting non-standard base-pairing at the 3rd anti-codon position. Lineage: Bacteria; Candidatus Ryaniibacteriota. The record is from RNAcentral.
GGGGGCAUAUUUCAACGGUAGAAUUCUGGUCUCCAAAACCAGCGAUCAAGGUUCAAGUCCUUGUGCCCCCG